GAUGAACGCUGGCGGCGUGCCUAAUACAUGCAAGUCGAGCGAACAGACGAGGAGCUUGCUCCUCUGACGUUAGCGGCGGACGGGUGAGUAACACGUGGAUAACCUACCUAUAAGACUGGGAUAACUUCGGGAAACCGGAGCUAAUACCGGAUAAUAUAUUGAACCGCAUGGUUCAAUAGUGAAAGACGGUUUUGCUGUCACUUAUAGAUGGAUCCGCGCCGCAUUAGCUAGUUGGUAAGGUAACGGCUUACCAAGGCGACGAUGCGUAGCCGACCUGAGAGGGUGAUCGGCCACACUGGAACUGAGACACGGUUCAGACUCCUACGGGAGGCAGCAGUAGGGAAUCUUCCGCAAUGGGCGAAAGCCUGACGGAGCAACGCCGCGUGAGUGAUGAAGGUCUUCGGAUCGUAAAACUCUGUUAUUAGGGAAGAACAAAUGUGUAAGUAACUAUGCACGUCUUGACGGUACCUAAUCAGAAAGCCACGGCUAACUACGUG
RNAcentral lists this ribosomal RNA (497 nucleotides) under uncultured bacterium. RNAcentral's name for it is "partial 16S ribosomal RNA". It matches the Rfam family "Bacterial small subunit ribosomal RNA", at positions 28 to 507 of the family's 1533-position model. The record is from RNAcentral.